This 336-nucleotide unclassified non-coding RNA is filed under the name soil metagenome. RNAcentral's name for it is "partial contains 5.8S ribosomal RNA, internal transcribed spacer 2, and large subunit ribosomal RNA". The stretch from base 1 to 120 matches the Rfam family "5.8S ribosomal RNA", at positions 35 to 154 of the family's 154-position model. The record is from RNAcentral.
GAUGAAGAACGCAGCGAAAUGCGAUAAGUAAUGUGAAUUGCAGAAUUCAGUGAAUCAUCGAAUCUUUGAACGCACAUUGCGCCCGCCAGAAUUCUGGCGGGCAUGCCUGUUCGAGCGUCAUUUCAACCAUCAAGCCCCCGGCUUGUGUUGGGGACCUGCGGCUGCCGCAGGCCCUGAAAAGCAGUGGCGGGCUCGCUGUCACACCGAGCGUAGUAGCAUACAUCUCGCUCUGGGCGUGCUGCGGGUUCCGGCCGUUAAACCACCUUCAUAACCCAAGGUUGACCUCGGAUCAGGUAGGAAGACCCGCUGAACUUAAGCAUAUCAAUAAGCGGAGGA